RNAcentral lists this transfer RNA (104 nucleotides) under Nanobdellota archaeon. RNAcentral describes it as "tRNA-Phe". It matches the Rfam family "tRNA". From Rfam's summary of the family: Transfer RNA (tRNA) molecules are approximately 80 nucleotides in length. Lineage: Archaea; Nanobdellati; Nanobdellota. RNAcentral also lists the same sequence under 1 other name. The record is from RNAcentral.
GGGCUCGUAGCUCAGCCUGGGAGAGCACUACGCUGAAGACGUAGGUGAUUCGUAAGGUCUCGGCUUUACAACCUAAAUCCUGGGUUCAAAUCCCAGCGAGCCCA